This 328-nucleotide unclassified non-coding RNA is filed under the name plant metagenome. RNAcentral describes it as "partial contains 5.8S ribosomal RNA, internal transcribed spacer 2, and large subunit ribosomal RNA". The record is from RNAcentral.
GGGUAGAGACAGCCGGGAGCGGAGGGGAGUCGUCCCGAACCGUGAGCCCGCGGGUGCGGUCGUGCGCCGGAAGUUCCCCCUGGGCCCCUGCCCGAAAGGCAGGAGAAGGGGUGUGAAGGGAACCGGCGCCCCAGGGUCCUGCCGGUUAGUAAGACCCGGCGUCCCGAGGCGUGUUGCGCCUCAUACUAAAUACCAGAGACGCAAUGCGCCUCGGGACACCGUCUGCCUCUCUGCUGCUGACACGCUCUGGCAGCACUUCGCGUCAUAAUAAAGUUAAGUUAUCACUUAACGGUCUGGCGCAUGUCGAUUUCGGCUCCGCCCGAUCGUC